RNAcentral lists this long non-coding RNA (698 nucleotides) under Gossypium raimondii (Peruvian cotton). RNAcentral's name for it is "long non-coding RNA (GRAI_LNC006262)". The record is from RNAcentral. Lineage: Eukaryota; Viridiplantae; Streptophyta; Magnoliopsida; Malvales; Malvaceae.
CUUUCAGCAGCAUGAUCCCAAAGUUGUCAAGCAAAUUAGCCAAAUGCUGGUGAAUCACCUUGGACUAAAUUUGACCAAAGAUGAUCUGCAAAACGUGGUUGAUUUAAUGGAGCCAUAUGGUCAGAUAAGCAAUGGAAUAGAAUAUCUAUAUCCUCCCCUUGAUGUCAGUAACUAACUUGCUUGUGAUUUUAAAUAUGCAAGUCAAUUGCUAUUAAUAAUUUUCUGUUGGAUUCUUUUUGGACUGAAAAAUAAUUUCUGGGGAAAGUCUAAGAAUCUUAAUUUUUUUAGAAAGCCAAUAAAGUGCUUGCUGGACGAAAUGUGGGGAUUAAUUGAACUGCUAGGUCAUACAUGCUGUUAAUUUUUUAAGAGCUGAUAAAUGAGUAUGACAUAGUGCUCAUAAAUGUUCUAAGGAUGUCUUUAGAUAAAUUCAUGUUUUAGGCACUAAUCAAUUUUAACCAAAUUAUCUAACUGUAAUUUGUACUGCUUGUAGACUUUCAGCAGCAUGAUCCCAAAGUUGUCAAGCAAAUUAGCCAAAUGCUGGUGAAUCACCUUGGACUAAAUUUGACCAAAGAUGAUCUGCAAAACAUGGUUGAUUUAAUGGAGCCAUAUGGUCAGAUAAGCAAUGGAAUAGAAUAUCUAAAUCCUCCCCUUGAUGUCGGUAACUAACUUGCUUGUCAUUUUAAAUAUGCAAGUCAAUU